UGCCGGAUCGUCUAACGGUAGGACACAGGAUUCUGGCUCCUGUAAUCUAGGUUCGAGUCCUAGUCCGGCAG
This 71-nucleotide transfer RNA is filed under the name bacterium. Its description in RNAcentral is "tRNA-Gln". It matches the Rfam family "tRNA". From Rfam's summary of the family: Transfer RNA (tRNA) molecules are approximately 80 nucleotides in length. The record is from RNAcentral.